GGAGGUUGCGGGCGGCGAGGGGUGCCUCCGGCCGCACGCCCAUUCUUGUCUACUGACCCGGUUGCCUCGGCGGGCCGCGCCUGCUGUGCUACAGCGGCCGUUCGGGGGGGACGCCUGAGGGGGACUCUUGUUUCCUAGGCCACGCCCCGGGCAGCGCUCGCCGGAGGAUUACUCUGGAAAACACACUCUUGAAAGAACAUACCGUCUGAGCGAGCAACGCAAAUCAGUUAAAACUUUCAACAACGGAUCUCUUGGUUCCGGGGCUAUGAAGAACGCAGCGAAAUGCGAUAAGUAAUGUGAAUUGCAGAAUUCCGUGAAUCAUCGAAUCUUUGAACGCACAUUGCGCCCCCUGGCAUUCCGGGGGGCAUGCCUGUUCGAGCGUCAUUUCAACCCCUCAAGCCCGGCUUGUGUGAUGGACGACCGUCCCCCCUCCCCAGUAACCACCCACCGCUUAGGGGGGUGGGAGGGAGGGGGACGCGCCCGAAAAGCAGUGGUCAGGCCGCGAUUCCGGCUCCUGGGCGAAUGGGACAUACCACCGCCUCCAGGACCGGCCGGCAGGCUGGCCUAACGCACCAUGUAUUAUUCAGGUUGACCUCGG
This 598-nucleotide unclassified non-coding RNA is filed under the name Microsporum canis. RNAcentral describes it as "partial contains ITS1, 5.8S rRNA, ITS2 and 28S rRNA". The stretch from base 232 to 384 matches the Rfam family "5.8S ribosomal RNA". Lineage: Eukaryota; Fungi; Ascomycota; Eurotiomycetes; Onygenales; Arthrodermataceae. The record is from RNAcentral.